UUAUUUCUGGAACGCUCUGGCAUGCAGUAGUCAAUCAGACAGCAAACAAACAAAGUCAGCACUGGGAGCAACCGCCUCCCAGCACUCUAAAUAGACGCCUCCCAGCCGGCCCCAUCCCCUACCCACCUAGCCAGCAUCUGGUGUGAGCGCCGGUAUGGCAGCAAGGCAAGGAAGCGAGGCAGGAUCUCAACUCCCCACCGUUUCUCUGCAUCGAUCAGCUGCUCAGCAGGAUGGCCUCGUGGCUGCGUUCUGCAGGGUCCCCCUCCCAGCAUACAAAUAUUCAUGGAUAAGCUGAGAAUUUUUGGUGCCAACAGACUCCCGAAAAAUGGCUUUGGCAUAUCCACGGAUGGGCUUAUCUACAGCUCCUGGCACAGCCCAGCUGCUCUCAGUAUUAAUUCUAAAGGUCUUCCUGAAAGAUUCAAAGAGAAGAGAUCUUUUUAUAACUACCACCCCUUUAAUGAAGAGACCCAGUGGGAUGCAACCUAUGUUUCUAUAUUCUGAAGGACCUCUUGGAAGUUACUGACUUUGAAUUUAAACAAGUUAAGCUUACUUCUAAUAGGUUUAGGUAAUCAGUGGUCAACCCAUGAUGUUCCUAUCACUACAAUUGCAGAAAGGAAAAUUAAAAUAGUAGAAGCAUAUCUUACCAUCUUCAGAUAUGAAACACAGAAAUCCCCAGGGAAAGCUUUGAAAUUCAACAUGAGUUUAAAAAACAAAAUUCGUCCAAACCCCUAGUCCUGGUGUAUAUGUGUGUGUUGUGUUCAUUAUGCACAGUCAUAACUUAUACUUUGCAAUUCUGUCCAAACCGUAUCACUUGCUAUCUUCCUUGGAUUUUUAGUGUAGCCACAGCUGCAAUACUAAGUCAAACGCUGUGUGUGU
This is a long non-coding RNA of Crotalus tigris (Tiger rattlesnake), 876 nucleotides long. RefSeq lists it as uncharacterized. The transcript has 3 exons. The record is from RefSeq and is a predicted model, not a curated record. NCBI's taxonomy places the organism in Eukaryota, Metazoa, Chordata, Lepidosauria, Squamata, Viperidae.